Molecule: ribosomal RNA, 305 nt
Filed under: Staphylococcus aureus
Lineage: Bacteria; Bacillati; Bacillota; Bacilli; Caryophanales; Staphylococcaceae
Description: partial 23S ribosomal RNA
Rfam family: Bacterial large subunit ribosomal RNA
Source: RNAcentral
GUCGUGAGACAGUUCGGUCCCUAUCCGUCGUGGGCGUAGGAAAUUUGAGAGGAGCUGUCCUUAGUACGAGAGGACCGGGAUGGACAUACCUCUGGUGUACCAGUUGUCGUGCCAACGGCAUAGCUGGGUAGCUAUGUGUGGACGGGAUAAGUGCUGAAAGCAUCUAAGCAUGAAGCCCCCCUCAAGAUGAGAUUUCCCAACUUCGGUUAUAAGAUCCCUCAAAGAUGAUGAGGUUAAUAGGUUCGAGGUGGAAGCAUGGUGACAUGUGGAGCUGACGAAUACUAAUCGAUCGAAGACUUAAUCAA